Molecule: ribosomal RNA, 253 nt
Filed under: uncultured bacterium
Lineage: Bacteria
Description: partial 16S ribosomal RNA
Rfam family: Bacterial small subunit ribosomal RNA
Source: RNAcentral
UACGUAGGGUGCAAGCGUUGUCCGGAUUCACUGGGUUUAAAGGGUGCGUAGGCGGACAGGUAAGUCAGUGGUGAAAUCUCCGAGCUUAACUCGGAAACUGCCUUUGAUACUCUCUGUCUUGAAUAUGGUGGAGGUAAGCGGAAUAUGUCAUGUAGCGGUGAAAUGCUUAGAGAUGACAUAGAACACCUAUUGCGAAGGCAGCUUACUACGCCUAUAUUGACGCUGAGGCACGAAAGCGUGGGGAUCAAACAGG